GGGCUAUUAGCUCAGUGGUAGAGCGCGCCCCUCGGGCGAGGUCUCUGGUUCAAGUCCAGGAUGGCCCA
RNAcentral lists this transfer RNA (68 nucleotides) under Gardenia stenophylla. RNAcentral's name for it is "tRNA-Ile". It matches the Rfam family "tRNA". Rfam says of the family: Transfer RNA (tRNA) molecules are approximately 80 nucleotides in length. Their secondary structure includes four short double-helical elements and three loops (D, anti-codon, and T loops). The record is from RNAcentral. Lineage: Eukaryota; Viridiplantae; Streptophyta; Magnoliopsida; Gentianales; Rubiaceae.